Long non-coding RNA from Oncorhynchus tshawytscha (Chinook salmon), 378 nucleotides. Lineage: Eukaryota; Metazoa; Chordata; Actinopteri; Salmoniformes; Salmonidae. The record is from Ensembl.
UGAGAGAAUGAGAGAGGGAGGUCAGACAGAAGUGAGAGAGGGAGGUCAGAGAGAAGUGAGAGAAUGAGAGAGGGAGAUCAGAGAGUAGUGAGAGAAAAAGAGAGGGAGGUCAGAGAGAAGUGAGAGAGUGAGAGAGUGAGGUCAGACAGAAGUGAGAGAAUGAGAGAGGGAGGUCAGACAGAAGUGAGAGAGGGAGAGAGGGAGGUCAGAGAGAAGUGAGAGAAUAAGAGACAGAGGUCAGACAGGAGUGAGAGAAUAAGUGAGGGAGGUCAGACAGCAGUGAGAGAAUGAGAGAGGGAGGUCAGACAGAAGUGAGAGAAUGAGAGAGGGAGGUCAGAAGAGUGAGAGAAUAAGAGAGGGAGGUCAGAGAGAAGUGAG